Molecule: ribosomal RNA, 468 nt
Filed under: uncultured bacterium
Lineage: Bacteria
Description: partial 16S ribosomal RNA
Rfam family: Bacterial small subunit ribosomal RNA
Source: RNAcentral
GACGAACGCUGGCGGCGUGCUUAACACAUGCAAGUCGAACGGAAAGGCCCAGCUUUUUGGGUGUGCGCGAGUCGCACACGGGUGUGAAACGCGUGUGUACCGUCCCUUACACUGGGGUAUAACUUGGGAACAGUGGCGAUAAUACGGGAUGGCAGCUGCUGCUGCAUGGUGGGGGAAGGAUAUUUUUGGCGGUUGGGGAUGGACUCGCGGCCUAUCAGCUUGUUGGUGGGGUAGUGGCUUACCAAGGCGUCGACGGGUAGCCGGCCUGAGAGGGUGACCGGCCACAUUGGGACUGAGAUACGGCCCAGACUCCUACGGGAGGCAGCAGUGGGGAAUAUUGCACAAUGGGCGGAAGCCUGAUGCAGCGACGCCGCGUGCGGGAUGACGGCCUUCGGGUUGUAAACCGCUUUCGACAGUGACGAAGCGUGGGUGACGGUACCGGGAAAAGAAGCACCGGCUAACUACGUG